CCUACGGGGUGCAGCAGUGAGGAAUAUUGGUCAAUGUCCGAGAGGCUGAACCAGCCAAGUCGCGUGAGGGAAGACGGCCCUACGGGUUGUAAACCUCUUUUGUCGGGGAGCAAAGCGAACCACGUGUGGUUCAUUGAGAGUACCCGAAGAAAAAGCAUCGGCUAACUCCGUGCCAGCAGCCGCGGUAAUACGGAGGAUUCGAGCGUUAUCCGGAUUUAUUGGGUUUAAAGGGUGCGCAGGCGGAGUGGCAAGUCAGCGGUAAAAUUGCGGGGCUCAACCCCGUACUGCCGUUGAAACUGCAUCCCUUGAGUGCGCGAGAAGUAUGCGGAAUGCGUGGUGUAGCGGUGAAAUGCAUAGAUAUCACGCAGAACUCCGAUUGCGAAGGCAGCAUACCGGCGCGCAACUGACGCUCAUGCACGAAAGCGUGGGUAUCGAACAGGAUUAGAUACCCUGGUAGUC
This 459-nucleotide ribosomal RNA is filed under the name uncultured bacterium. Its description in RNAcentral is "partial 16S ribosomal RNA". It matches the Rfam family "Bacterial small subunit ribosomal RNA", at positions 338 to 795 of the family's 1533-position model. The record is from RNAcentral.